This 694-nucleotide ribosomal RNA is filed under the name uncultured bacterium. Its description in RNAcentral is "bacterial SSU rRNA". It matches the Rfam family "Bacterial small subunit ribosomal RNA", at positions 71 to 780 of the family's 1533-position model. The record is from RNAcentral.
AGCUGGAGCUUGCUCCGGCCGAUUUAGUGGCGGACGGGUGAGUAACGCGUGGGUAACCUGCCUCAUACAGGGGGAUAGCAGUUGGAAACGACUGGUAAAACCGCAUAAGCGCACGGUGUCGCAUGACACAGUGUGAAAACACUCCGGUGGUAUGAGAUGGACCCGCGUCUGAUUAGCUAGUUGGUGAGGUAACGGCCCACCAAGGCGACGAUCAGUAGCCGGCCUGAGAGGGUGAACGGCCACAUUGGGACUGAGACACGGCCCAAACUCCUACGGGAGGCAGCAGUGGGGAAUAUUGCACAAUGGGGGAAACCCUGAUGCAGCGACGCCGCGUGAGUGAUGAAGUAUUUCGGUAUGUAAAGCUCUAUCAGCAGGGAAGAUAAUGACGGUACCUGACUAAGAAGCACCGGCUAAAUACGUGCCAGCAGCCGCGGUAAUACGUAUGGUGCAAGCGUUAUCCGGAUUUACUGGGUGUAAAGGGUGCGUAGGUGGCAAGGCAAGUCUGAAGUGAAAAUCCGGGGCUCAACCCCGGAACUGCUUUGGAAACUGUUUAGCUGGAGUACAGGAGAGGUAAGUGGAAUUCCUAGUGUAGCGGUGAAAUGCGUAGAUAUUAGGAGGAACACCAGUGGCGAAGGCGACUUACUGGACUGCCACUGACACUGAGGCACGAAAGCGUGGGGAGCAAACAGGAUUA